CUGCGAGUGAAGCGGGAAAAGCUCAAAUUUAAAAUCUGGCAGUCUUUUGGCUGUCCGAGUUGUAGUCUGGAGAAGUGCUUUCCGCGCUGGACCGUGUAUAAGUCUCUUGGAACAGAGCGUCAUAGAGGGUGAGAAUCCCGUCUUUGACACGGACUACCAGUGCUUUGUGAUGCGCUCUCGAAGAGUCGAGUUGUUUGGGAAUGCAGCUCAAAAUGGGUGGUGAAUUCCAUCUAAAGCUAAAUAUUGGCGAGAGACCGAUAGCGAACAAGUACCGUGAGGGAAAGAUGAAAAGCACUUUGGAAAGAGAGUUAAACAGUACGUGAAAUUGCUGAAAGGGAAACGCUUGAAGUCAGUCGCGUCGUCCGGAACUCAGCCUUGCUUUUGCUUGGUGCACUUUCCGGUUGACGGGUCAGCAUCGAUUUUGACCGUCGGAAAAGGGCUGGAGUAAUGUGGCACCCUCGGGUGUGUUAUAGACUCUGGUCGCAUACGGCGGUUGGGAUCGAGGAACGCAGCGCGCCGUAAGGCAGGGGUUCGCCCACUUUCGCGCUUAGGAUGCUGGCAUAAUGGCUUUAAACGACCCGUCUUGAAACACGGACCAAGGAGUCUAACAUACCUGCGAGUGUUUGGGUGGAAAACCCGAGCGCGUAAUGAAAGUGAAAGUUGAGACCCCUGUCGUGGGGGGCAUCGACGCCCGGACCUGACGUUCUCUGAAGGAUCCGCGGUAGAGCAUGUAUGUUGGGACCCGAAAGAUGGUGAACUAUGCCUGAAUAGGGUGAAGCCAGAGGAAACUCUGGUGGAGGCUCGUAGCGAUUCUGACGUGCAAAUCGAUCGUCAAAUUGGGUAUAGGGGCGAAAGACUAAUCGACCAUCUAGUAUGCCC
RNAcentral lists this ribosomal RNA (879 nucleotides) under Ganoderma boninense. RNAcentral describes it as "partial large subunit ribosomal RNA". It matches the Rfam family "Eukaryotic large subunit ribosomal RNA", at positions 87 to 952 of the family's 3401-position model. The record is from RNAcentral. Lineage: Eukaryota; Fungi; Basidiomycota; Agaricomycetes; Polyporales; Polyporaceae.